UUUCCGUAGGUGAACCUGCGGAAGGAUCAUUCAUAAUAAGUGUUUUAUGGCUCUUUUUUAAAUCGAUUGCCACCUUGUGUGAAAUGUCAGGGUUGAUUGUUCUCGCGAGAGGAUCAGCCCCAUACAUCAACUAUAUCUCAACUCUUUGUCUGACAAAUAUUCUGCAUAAAACAAUUCAAAAUACAACUUUCAACAACGGAUCUCUUGGAUCUC
This 213-nucleotide unclassified non-coding RNA is filed under the name plant metagenome. RNAcentral describes it as "partial contains small subunit ribosomal RNA, internal transcribed spacer 1, and 5.8S ribosomal RNA". The record is from RNAcentral.